RNAcentral lists this ribosomal RNA (255 nucleotides) under Triticum aestivum (bread wheat). RNAcentral's name for it is "partial small subunit ribosomal RNA". The record is from RNAcentral. Lineage: Eukaryota; Viridiplantae; Streptophyta; Magnoliopsida; Poales; Poaceae.
AUGUCGGACGUGCCGGCGAGCCCGCCGGGCGGCGGCUUCGGCGGUGUCAGGGAGCAGGACAGGUUCCUUCCCAUCACCAACAUCAGCAGCAUCAUGAAGAAGGCCAUCCUGGCCAACGGCAAGAUCGCCAAGGACGCCAAGGAGACCGUGCAGGAGUGCAUCUUGGAGUUCAUUGCUUCAUCGCCAGCGAGUGAGUCGAGCGACAAGUGCCAGAGGGAGAAGUGCAAGACCAUCAAUAUCGAUGACCUGCUCUAG